Non-coding RNA from Canis lupus familiaris (dog), 108 nucleotides. The record is from Rfam. NCBI's taxonomy places the organism in Eukaryota, Metazoa, Chordata, Mammalia, Carnivora, Canidae.
GUGCUUGCUUUACCAGCACAUAUACUAAAAUUAGAAUGAUACUAAGAAGAUUAGCAUGACCCUCUGUGCAGGGAUGACACCCAAAUUUGUGAAGCGUUACCAUAUUUA